CACCACCUCCUGCUCUAAGGAUCCAAAGUCACCCCACUGGGUCAGGAAAGAGGCUUCGUCACACCCAAAGUUUCAGCAGGAAGAAGAGGAGGAGGAGGAGGCAGUGGAGGAGGAAAAAGAGAAGCAGAGUGGGUGGAAGGAUGGAAGGAGAGAAGGAUAGAAGCAGUUCGAGGAGGUGGUUCGAAGCGGGUGAACCCAGAGCAGGUGAACACAGCUGUGGAUCGCCAUGGGCUCUCUGGCUGCCUUCCUCCUGUGGCCCCGGUGCUGCAUACAUGGGUCCCGGGGAGCCAGCAGGGGCCAGCCAAAGCUGCGGCAGAGUGGGCAGGCUAGGCCAGCCAAGCCAGGAGAGAGGCAGGUGAGGCGGGUGAGCAGAGCUCUCAUCCCCGCCGGCUAGGAGCCUCCACGGCAGAGCGGAGCAGCACGGAGCAGCAGAAAUCAAUACAGAGGAGAGAGGCUAGCAGAGGUUGCCCAGCACCGCCUGCAGGCCUCGGAGCCCAGGGACCAACCACCACCACUGCUCCCAGCUCCUCUCUCCAUUUCUCUUUCUAUCUUUCUCCAACAGUCCCAGCACCAGCCAGGGCCAGGGCCCUAACCUUGCAACCGCCCCACACGCAGUGUGUGUGUCAGUAUGUGCACAUGUGUGUGUGUCUGUGAAACGGAGAGAAAAAGGGAGAGGAAAGAGACAGAGAGAGAGAGUCUUUGUGUGUGGUUCAGCCAGAGGGGUUUUUGCUGCGUCCAACACCACUUGAUAAAACUUUGUCAGAGAGACAUGGAGACAGCAAGGGAGGGAGAGGAACGGAAGAAGAAUAAAACGCGUUGAAGGUCUCUUUUCUUCCAGCUCCCUCCCUCUUAUUACUCAUUCCACCUUAACUGUUUGAAUAAGGAUCCAUCUGAGACAGCGUGCAUGACGUUUCUGCUCAGUCCCACUUCCAAGCACGUAGCACACAACAUUCCUAAGAUCUCAUGAGCUGGAAAGAAAGGACAAUUUGAACUUUUUCUUUCAUGUACUGUAUCAGACACAACCUGUCUUUUCGCCUUAGAUUUUCUUACCCUCACUACAGCAGCUCCCAUCAGAGGAUAUGGCAGUGCAGUAUUGAUCUAUAAGGUGGAAGAGAGGAAGGCGGGCCUGGGCUUUCAUACCUCUCUCUCUCUCUAUAUGUGUGUGGAAAUAGCACCUGAAGUCCACUUACUGCUGUGCAGCAGGGAUCCCAUGGCAGCACAAGUGAACGGCUGCUAAUUGAAUGAGAGAUGAAAAGGACAGUAGUUGCACCUGUUCAGUGCCCUCCUCCUGUCUGAUAGUGCUUAGUUUUUCAUUUUUUCUCCUUCACAUUUACAAAAGUCCUUCUCCACACAAAGAAACUUGCUCUUCAGAUGUUUUAACAAAAUUGCUGGUGACUUAAGAAAAUUGGCUAAAUCCUCAGUAAUGAAAAUACCUGGCUCAACAUCAGUGUAGAGGUGAAAGCCUUCAGAAGGUGUUGUUUUAAUGCAGUGGUAGAGACAUCCUGCUGAAACUUUACUUCUGAGAGUUCAUGUCAGAAGAUUAUUUGUGGACUUGGAAGGACAUUACAGCACAGAUGGACAGUUUGCCAAACAUGAAAACUGACAGAGAUUACAACGGGACUGCUACCUCUUGAUGCAGUGAGAGAUGACAUGAUAUGAAAAGCUGCCAACAAGCUUCCACCAUGGGACCUGACGCUCACAAAGCACACCACGUCUGUAGCCAAUUUUCCCUGAACAUGUUUAGCCCCAGCCACAUAUGGAAAACGCCGUCCCUUACACCUGCAGGAGCAGUCAGUUAGACACACAUCAUUAGAGUGUGAUUAUCAGUGGUCUUGCCUGCCGUCUUUGUGGAUGUGGACAGGUAAGUCGGAGCUGCUUCUAAAAGGUAUGUUUAGAGGCUGAAUCAAUUUAAGAGCUGUCUAAAGUGUAAAGUGGAGCUGCCGAGCAAUAUUUUCCAAAAUUAGUUUCAUUAGAUAUGUAUUACUAUAUUUGAGACCAAUUUUAGGUCGGAGAUUGGAUGAGACCCCAAGGGGUCCUUCUUUUCACUCGGUAAUUUACGUUCAAGUAUUUGACUGGAAAAUCGUUUGACAAGAGUUUGUUGAAUUACUUUCCACUUUUCUAUGAGACAUUAUGUACACAUCUGUAUUUAUACAGUCUUUUUCAUAUUACAAUGAACUAAUUUCAUUAAAUGUGAUUGCCAAAUGCCAAAAGUAUUGCCCUGAAAAGAUAUAUAUAUAUUUUCAAUAAAACUCAACAAUUUGUGAAAUGAAAAACUGCCUUGGUUGUUUUUUU
Long non-coding RNA from Lates calcarifer (barramundi perch), 2292 nucleotides. RefSeq lists it as uncharacterized. Lineage: Eukaryota; Metazoa; Chordata; Actinopteri; Centropomidae. The transcript has 3 exons. The record is from RefSeq and is a predicted model, not a curated record.